Molecule: ribosomal RNA, 238 nt
Filed under: uncultured bacterium
Lineage: Bacteria
Description: partial 16S ribosomal RNA
Rfam family: Bacterial small subunit ribosomal RNA
Source: RNAcentral
GAUCAUGGCUCAGAUUGAACGCUGGCGGCAGGCUUAACACAUGCAAGUCGAACGGUAACAUAAAGAAGCUUGCUUCUUUGAUGACGAGUGGCGGACGGGUGAGUAAUGCUUGGGAAUCUAGCUUAUGGAGGGGGAUAACUACGGGAAACUGUAGCUAAUACCGCGUAGAAUCGAGAGAUGAAAGUGUGGGACCUUCGGGCCACAUGCCAUAGGAUGAGCCCAAGUGGGAUUAGGUUAG